GGACUACGGGGGUAUCUAAUCCCUUUUGCGCCCCUAGCCUUCAUCCCUUACUGUCAGAACUGUCCUCGUAAGAUGCCUUCGCUGUUGUUAGUCCGUCUGGGAUUAACACAUUUUACCGCUACUCCAAACGUACUUCUUACGUCUUCCAGUCUCUAGCUUAACAGUACUUCUUGCCCGCUCCAUAUUUGAGACAUGGAAUUUCACAAGAAACUUAUUAAGCAAGCUACGGAUGUUUUAGACCCAAUAAUGAUGGCUGCGACUUGGACCGCGAGUAUUACCGCGGCGGCUGGCACUCGUCUUACCCAGUCCUUAUUCGCCAAACUUUUUACAUUUGGCAAAAGCUUUUCAUAUGAAAAGCACUCUGACUCAAUCUGUCAUACUUUCGUACAUUGCAGAAAAUUCCUAACUGCUGCACCCCAUAGG
RNAcentral lists this ribosomal RNA (423 nucleotides) under uncultured organism. Its description in RNAcentral is "partial 16S ribosomal RNA". The record is from RNAcentral.